This 693-nucleotide ribosomal RNA is filed under the name Triticum aestivum (bread wheat). RNAcentral describes it as "partial small subunit ribosomal RNA". The record is from RNAcentral. Lineage: Eukaryota; Viridiplantae; Streptophyta; Magnoliopsida; Poales; Poaceae.
AUGGCCACUCGCCGGAGCCCCGCCACCACCCACCACCGACUCCUCCUACUCCUCCUCCCCUUGCUGCUAAUCGGCUCGUUCCUCCUCCCCCUCUCGUCCGCCUACCGCCCCGGCGACAUCAUCCCCAUGCUCCGCUCCGGCCAGUACCACGGCUCGAGGUCGGUGUGGUUCGACGUCAUCGGCCGCCACUGCCCGGUCUUCGCGGUCAACCGGGAGGUGCUGAUGCCGAUCCCCAAGCCGACGGGGUUCACCGGUGCGGAUCCGUAUAAGAUAACAUUUCAGAUUGGACACGAAAAGUUCCAUGUUCCUUGGCUUUAUGUUAUUAAUCGCAAAAGCUCUGAAGUUCCACUGAUUGAUUUCCAUUUAAAAUACACUGGAAACGAUUUGCUUGGUGUUACGGCUAAAGUAGUGGACAUGCCUCACCAUUUUGUGGAACUUCAUCCUGACAUAAAGAAGAAUUUCUGGGAUCCACAGAAUUGGCCAAAAUAUGUACUUGUUAGUUAUACAUGGGAGGAACAAUCAGAGAUAGAUGUUACUGCAGGAUUCUAUGUGUUAUUUGGAUCUGGCCUUGUUCUUUCCUUCAUCCUUGCAAUCUAUGUAUUGCAAUCAUCUCAAGAUAAAUUAACAAGGUUUGUACGAGAAGCGGUUUCUGAUAGCAGUCUACCUGAAGGAGGGGUUGCAAAGGUUGAGUGA